Molecule: long non-coding RNA, 4290 nt
Organism: Gadus morhua (Atlantic cod)
Lineage: Eukaryota; Metazoa; Chordata; Actinopteri; Gadiformes; Gadidae
Source: Ensembl
AUGCCAGGCGUGGCCCCCCAUGAGCUGCUCCAGAAGCUCCAGCUGGUGCACCAGGAACAGGGCCAGACCCCCCAUGAGGCCCGCGCCACGGCCCAGGGUUCGCCCCUCGAUUCCAGGGUCCCGCUCCAACUCAAGACCCAGGCUCCGCCCUGGGCCCUGGCGAUAAGGAGGCCAUGCGAUUCCCGGUCGCCUCCCCCCAGCGCAUCCCGGCCACCGUGGCCCCCACGCUGCUCCUCUCGCCCAGCGUCUUCUCCCAGGCCAAGGCGGCGGGGCCCCCCCAGGACGGCGGCCCCGCCCCGGGCCCCCCCGCCCCGCGCCCCCCCGCCCCGGAGGAGGCCCCGGUGCUGUCCAGGGGCCAGCUGCAGGACACCCUGCUGCACCUCAUACGGACGGACAGCUCCUUCAUCGAUUGCAUCUACAAGGCGUACAUCGGCGGCCUGGCUAGAGACAGCCAGUUCUGAGGCCCCCCCUCCUUAAGAAGCCACCCUAUCAACCACUGCCUCUAACCACUGUUACGCCAGCGCCACCUACCUAUGCAACCGCCUCUCUUGGUCAACACACACGCACGCACACACACACACACACACACACACACACACACACACACACACACACACACACCCCUGCACGGCUUCAGUUCAAUGCUCUGUGGGACUUAUCUACCUAUAGGCCAUAUUGGCUCUAAACACUAGCUAGUGUUUAAAGCCAAGAAGCAAUGUGGCGGAUAGCGGUGAAUAAGGCGCAUGGGAUUAGUUAUGGUUCCAAGUUGGCAUCGCUCAUGUAUCAGAGAGUGAACGGAGGGCACACUUCCCACUGUGUUUAGGAGAGGAAACCGUUGUCUUAAUAUCUGAAUGUAGCAGAAUCGUUUUCAAUAUUAAUGGUCUCAUUCCAUCCAUGCCGUCUUUUACCCGCUAUUCCGUCUGAUGGCUAAGAAGCAAUAAAAUAAACAGACUUUUAUACAUUUGAGUACAUGCACGGAUGUGAACUGGAAUGUCACGUCAUUCCAGUUUCAUUCCGGUCAUUUUAUAGAUAGUUUUUAUCCAUUUAAUGUUUUCAAAAGAUAUUCAGAGUUCACUUUUUAUUCGUUCUUCAUUUGGGUGUAUCAAAAAAUAUAAAAAUUCUGCCCCGGUUAUUAGUAAAUAUAACUGUUUUUUACAAACGAGUAACGGUAAAGUAAAAGUUAGCGGAAAGCUAAAGUAGCAGCGAUUAAUAUUGAGCAACAUUUUGAACAUUUCAGAGACCAUGUAGCCAGGUAAUAUGUUCCAUCGUUAAAAUAAUGUUAUUUGUUUAAAAUGGAAAAGGAAAUUAUUCUUCAUUUGUUAUUAAGUAUUCAAAUUUGUUGAAGAAAAUGUAUAGAAGCCAGAAGAAUUGCACUAGGCUGUUUAUGCACUGCUGGCUCAUCGGAUAGAGCUAGCGGCGUAGCUAGCAUGCUUUUACUGAUCGGACAAUCCAAUCAAUUAUUGGGGCUUUCGUCUAAGAGAGGUAGGGGGAUUUGACUAUUGCAACACAGAUGGUACUUUUGGCAUUAACACCAAGCAGUGUUAUAUGUAGGCAAGUUUCCCCCCUCAUGAUGUGGUCGAACUGGUGGUUUCAGACAUGGGAGAAGGCAGUAUAACUGAAGUUGUUUGGGUGUUUUCCUGCUUCAGUCAAUAAAGAGGUCUCAGCCAUACAUGUUGCCAUUCGGAGGAACAAAUACUUGAAUCCCGCCACAUGGAAAUACCAAUAUUUUUCAUACGUGUCACUUAUAUCAAUGGUCAUGUCAUAUGUUGGUGAGAUAUCACGUUGAAGAAGAAAACAAAAAAGUGUAAUAAAAAUAACCUUAUUGGGUUCUCGUAGUGAGCAAAGGGAAUCUGAUAGCCAGCCUACAGCGGUUCAACUGAGCAAAAAUAUCUUGAGAGAUUUUCCAUUUUUUUUUACUCAUUCUUAAAACUGUAGGCUAUUCUCCUACAGACAUACCUCCAGCAUGUAGUGUUUUAAAACAUUUUAAUGUGUACGUUCUGGUUUAACAAAGGCCACACUAAUUUGCAUACGAAAGGUCUUUGAAAAACUUUUCAAAUCACCAAUUUUGAUAUAUCGAAUGUAGAAAAUACUUUUCAGGUUUUAGAAAUUCUCAUUAUUUUCAAAGACAUUGUAAACCCAGGGAAUGCGAGCACACAGAUCUCAUUUAAUACCUUUCUGUCAUAAAACUCCUGUCUGUAAAUAACCACAUACAAAUUGGAUAUAAACGAUUUUCAACUCCCUUGGUCUUGGCGUUUUGUUCCUUGUUUGUUUCUGUCUUUCAACAGAUCCUAAUGUGAUAAUCACCGGGCUACCAUUUUACCUCAGGCCAUUAUGUUCUUUUCCUGUAAUCAAUAGCAUAACAAACUGUACAAUUAACCUUGCUUUUCUCCCCCUUAUUUCAAACAAUACUCAAAAGACCUUGUCUUCAUUAAGCCUCUCUCCAAAGUACACAUCGCUUUACCCAAUAUAAAAUCAGUCCAUGUUUGUUAUGCUCGUUGGAGCGCAGAGCAACAGCUGAUAGCUGACAUUUGCUUUCUCUGGUGAGUUAAUUAAACCGUCCUGUGGAUCUUAGCUCCAAGAUGGAGGACAGACAGCAGAGUAGGAUGGGAUCAUGGUCGGCUGUUCUACGGUCAAGAAUAAUAAUGGUCUGCUGCUCUGUGCUUUGAAACAGCAGAACAGUCGCAGUCAGUUGCCUUCUGCAAGUUUCACUCAGCUAGUUUCCUGGCCUACAUAGUCAGCUUAUUAGACAUGUUAGUAUGUUUUUAGUUUGUUUGACAUCUUUUACUUCACCAGUCAUUUGGUGUUUGAUUCCCUUAUGCUUUCAGCAGUUAUUGUAUUUUAUGUGGGGUUGGACUUUAGCGAAUAAUCUCGUGAUAAUCUUAGAGAAUUUGACAAGCGAUUUAGCAAUCUUAAAUUUUUUAACCAUUAUAUUUCAUUCAAAAUGUAUUUUUUAUUGUAUUAAUCUGAGGUUUAAUAUCAGCCUCAAUCUCCUAACGUCUUCUAUUCUUCCUAAUCAUUGAAACCUCAUUGUGAUAAAUCCUUUGAUGGAUUAUGGUAAAAAAAACAGGUCUGCAGAUUUUCAAUAGCAUUGUUGCCGAGAUUUAAUGAGAUGUAGUGACUGGUUCAUUAAUGCUGUUUUUAGGCAGUCUGCAUAAUUUCCCCUGCAAACGGGCCGAUUCUCCCAUGGCCAUAAAGCUAAAGAGUAGAUCUACAGGCUGUGUACCCCCCCUCGUAAUGACUGUAGCAGGGGCAGCACCGUGCUAUCAUUAGCCAGAUAGUUAGCAUUGAUUCAUGGACAGUUUGCAUGAGGAAUGUGGCCUGUGGGAACCGUUGUCAGCUCAUCUUCUACUGUACGUGUGUAUAUGUGUGUGUGUGUGGGGGGGGGGGGGGGGGGGGGGGGGGGGGGGGGGGGGGGGGGGGGGGGGGGGGGGGGGGGGGGGGGGGGACUGGACGCAUUGUUAAUGACCUGUCAAUCACUGCUCCUCCUUCUCGACUUUACACUCUCACACACACACUCACACACACUCAUUCUGUAAACUGUAUCUUACCUUAAUUGAAUAUGUCAGAGCAAACAAGUCUUCAAAUUAUAAUUUUCAGUUUACAGUAUAGAUUUUGACCUUACUUUUCCAAAUCUUUAUCAUGGUGUCCUCAGUGUGUGUGUGUGUGUGUGUGUGUGUGUGUGUAUGCGGGAUGUGCACUUAACAGUCCCAUUCGCUCUAAUGUUAGUGAUGACAUGUGACAUCAACACAGGACUCUUAGUUGCUGACCUCAAAUCCUUGAUAUUCAGAAACCGACAGAUAAAAACACGAAUACAUCAGAAACAAGUUUCAAAGGCAGCUUAUCUUAUCCGAGCAGAUAUAUCAUAAUGAUGAGGCACAGUAGCUUGAGAACUGUUCUUUUUUUUCCAUCCUUCCACUAAUUUGGGAAGCUGAGGAUGUUUUGGUUGUGCCUUACUGCUCUCUGUUAACACACUCUUCACUAACACAAACUCUCCCAAGGAGAUAUAGAAUAGAAUGAACUAAAAGAACGACAAAACGCCCACCAAUAGAAACUCCCCACACAGGAGCCGAUGAGUUCCAGCUCAUUGGUGACAGACGCUGAUUGAGCCGAACCUGAGUCCGAGCCAACCCUGAUCAAUAGCCACUUUCGUGUGUGUGUGUGUGUGUGUGUGUGUGUGUGUGUGUGUGUGUGUGUGUGUGUGUGUGUGUGUGUGUGUGUGUGUGUGUGUGUGUGUGUGUGUGUGUGUGUGUGUGUGUGUGUGUGUGUGCCGACAAGGGUAGGGUCAGCAAU